This 497-nucleotide ribosomal RNA is filed under the name uncultured bacterium. Its description in RNAcentral is "partial 16S ribosomal RNA". It matches the Rfam family "Bacterial small subunit ribosomal RNA", at positions 28 to 507 of the family's 1533-position model. The record is from RNAcentral.
GAUGAACGCUGGCGGCGUGCCUAAUACAUGCAAGUCGAGCGAACAGACGAGGAGCUUGCUCCUCUGACGUUAGCGGCGGACGGGUGAGUAACACGUGGAUAACCUACCUAUAAGACUGGGAUAACUUCGGGAAACCGGAGCUAAUACCGGAUAAUAUAUUGAACCGCAUGGUUCAAUAGUGAAAGACGGUUUUGCUGUCACUUAGAGAUGGAUCCGCGCCGCAUUAGCUAGUUGGUAAGGUAACGGCUUACCAAGGCAACGAUGCGUAGCCGACCUGAGAGGGUGAUCGGCCACACUGGAACUGAGACACGGUCCAGACUCCUACGGGAGGCAGCAGUAGGGAAUCUUCCGCAAUGGGCGAAAGCCUGACGGAGCAACGCCGCGUGAGUGAUGAAGGUCUUCGGGUCGUAAAACUCUGUUAUUAGGGAAGAACAAAUGUGUAAGUAACUAUGCACGUCUUGACGGUACCUAAUCAGAAAGCCACGGCUAACUACGUG